Rattus norvegicus (Norway rat) is the source of this 966-nucleotide long non-coding RNA. RefSeq lists it as uncharacterized. The record is from RefSeq and is a predicted model, not a curated record. NCBI's taxonomy places the organism in Eukaryota, Metazoa, Chordata, Mammalia, Rodentia, Muridae.
UUUACUUUCUAAAUCGGUCAUUGUCACCCGUUGGCCCCCACCCCACCUGGGCCAAGGCCUCCUGUGACAAGGGCUUAAGAGGAAGCUCAAGGGGACAGGGCCUCAGCUCGGGGUGGAUAUGAGGCUUCAUCCUUGACAAGGACUUCGUAGGCCACCUCCAAGUGACAAGGUUCCCUUGGAUGUACCUGCCUGAGUCGGCAUGAACCGAGUCCUUCAGCUUCAACUGCCAGGGAAUGGGCCAAGGGACUCCACAGACAGGAGGAAGUCAGUAGCGGUUAGGGGUAUGGCUCCUGAGGUCUGUCACCCUGGCAAAUCUUGCCACCUCUCUGACCUUUACUUUCUCACCCCUGCAAAUGGAAGGCCUGAGGAAAUGGAAGAUGGUGUCCACCCCAGCUCAUUUGCGACCCUGUCACUUGCCCCUUUCUGGACUCAGUUUCCCCAUUACAAAUCGGAUGCAACAGCAUGCUCGAGCCCUACAGCCUGGAAUUUUGUGUGCAUGCUCAGCAAGCAUUCUGAGCCACAUCCUCGGCCUCCCAGCUUGGCUCGUAACCGGCAGGCCUCUGGAUCCACCUAGAAGGAAUAAUUACAGUUCUGUACAGUGUAGACAAAGUGUGAAGUGUGUUUUCUUGUUGGUCUUUAGAUCUCUUUGCCCAGUGGGGAGACAGAGUCAGUAACCAACUUUACAGAUAAAAAUCUUGUCUCAAAACGUGGUUCUGACCUAAGUGCCCCAUUUUCCAGAUGAGAUGAAGACAAAAGAAAUCCAGGGGGCUGGAGAGAUGGCUCAGUGGUUAAGAGCACUGACUGCUCUUCCAGAGGUCCUGAGUUCAAUUCCCAGCAACCACAUGGUGGCUCACAACCAUCUGUAAAGAUAUCCGAUGCCCUCUUCUGGUGUAUCUGAAGACAGCUACAGUGUACCUAUAUAUAAUAAAUAAAUAAAUCUUAAAAAAAAAAAAAAAGAAAAAGAAA